This 118-nucleotide ribozyme is filed under the name Aedes aegypti (yellow fever mosquito). RNAcentral's name for it is "drz-agam-1 ribozyme". It matches the Rfam family "drz-agam-1 ribozyme". Lineage: Eukaryota; Metazoa; Arthropoda; Insecta; Diptera; Culicidae. The record is from Rfam by way of RNAcentral.
UGUCUAGCAACUCCUAUCCCUACCUCCUCGUGGUACUUGCUGGGGUACGAGUAACCUUUGGGAAGAUCGGGUAACCAACCCCGAUGGGAACUUUGGUCGUAUGCUGACAGGAAAAAGG